Long non-coding RNA from Takifugu rubripes (torafugu), 2359 nucleotides. Lineage: Eukaryota; Metazoa; Chordata; Actinopteri; Tetraodontiformes; Tetraodontidae. The record is from Ensembl.
AUGUUAUUCAGUCACAUGUUCAUAUAUCCUGAUGUUCAUCUGUUCAACAAAGGGACAACAGGAUGUGUGUGUCUUACCUGUUUGGUCCACUCAGACAUGACGUGCGUGCUCGGCGUCCUGAAGUGGAGGUUGAGGACGACCACACAGUUCAGCACCACCACCGUCACCACCACCAUGAUGAACAUCAAAUAUCUUCAACACACAAACACACUCAGGUCCCAGACUGUUCAUCUGCCUGACGCUGGCUUCAGUACGUUCUGUGACUCUGCACUGACUGUCUGCGGGCAGGUAGUAGACCAGCGAGGGAGGAGGAGAUGAGCACGCAGGGGAUGAUGAUGUUGACCACGUAGAAGAGAGGUGUUUCUCUUGGCGGGUCGGUGGAUGAUCUCCCACUCACCAUUCUCUGUUGGUCAAAGCCAGAGUUCAGACACAAGUGAUGAAGUUAUGACUGUCAGUCUGGUUGGAGCUGCAGCCAGUCUGAAGGCUCAGGCUCUGGGGAAAACAACUUCUCUGCAUGUAUCAACAGCAUCCAGUACACUGAAAGUCCCCAACAAGCUCCAGGACUGUAUGCAGUAAAAAAAAUAAAUUACUUGUGAAGAGAAUUGUCUUUAUUUUAUUAGCAUGUGUUGUACCAUAUGUUUCUGUUUUCUGUUAUAAGCACUUUAGAAGUUAGGAAUAGUAGAAUGUUUAAUCAGUGGAAUAAAGAUAAGUAGUCAGUUGACCCUUCCUUGACAUGAAUGUUGUUUAGACAGUUGGAGCCAGGAGGAGACAGUCAGAAGGAAAGUGGUAGACCCCCAUCGUAAAACGUGACAGAAUUGUUUACUGGUGUUGAUAAGUUCCUCGGCAGGAAUGACCUCUGACCUGGCUAUCUGGGAAGACAAUGGAGAAGAAGGACUGCACCAACACCAAAUGAGGCGGGAAGAAGAAGAUGAGGUCAUCCAAGAAGAAGGACUGGAUUGGAGUGAAUUAGCAUCAAUAAUUUACAUAUAUUGUUCUAUAAAAGACUGGGCCAAGGGAUAGUUAGGCGGUCAGACUUCAUGCCCUGACAAUUGACUCUGUUGUUUAUAGGGUUAUGAACUGGCCCAGAGCUCUGUAAUAUUUGUAUCUUGAAAUAAUUUUAUUGUAAAUACAUUUUGAAAUUGGCAUUUGUUUACUUGAAGUCUUCAUUUAAAGAACACGCGGAUUGGCAGUGACACACAAGAGGUAUUGCAAUCCAACAUUUGGUUACCUGUAAAGCUUGCAGGAUCAAUAAUGAUCCAUUCAACCGUCCACUUGGUUUCAAUGACUAUGUCUUCCUUCAGGAGCAACCUGAUCUCUUUGGCAUUGUACGUUAGAGAGCUGCAAGGCAACAUGGGAAAUGCAGUUCAGAAUUUAAAAAGCCUUUUUUCCUACUGGGAGAGUUUAGCUGCACCGUGCAUUUUAUUUUUGCACCUUUUUCUCCUCUCAUGUGUUUAGAUUCUAUAAAAUCUUGACUCAGCUCAGUUUAAAACAUCAUGUCAGAGUUUGUCUGCGUUUCAAACAACAAUGAAAAAUCCUGCCCGUGCAUACGUGAAUUUGAGCGUGCAGUCCUGCCAGUCAAAGGGGAAAUAUUUGACGCUGAUGGAGCAGGACGAUGUGAAGAUGGCGGGUGGUGACCAGUAGCAGAGACCUGCUGAAUCCACCAGAACGUUGCAGUAGUAGGCCACGUUGAAUUGGGCAUCGUUGCUGAGGAGGUGGUUGUACACACACGGAAAUGUAUUAAACAUAACGAAUUCAAGUAUAAAUAACAGGACACGUGAUACUUGUUCAUUGUUAUGACUAUUUGAUCAUGUUAAAGGGGUUGAAACCAUAUUUUGAAAGAUGCAGGCGGUGUGUGAUUAGAAACUCUUUCUGAACUCUGGUGCUCUGAAACAUCUCCGCUUCCAUUUUCAGCGGUAUUGAUAAUAAAAACAUUAUCAACAACGUCAAAUCAUUCAUCCAUCCAAAUCGUUGUCCUGUUGGACCACCAAUGGACAAACACUUUCCAUUUAGCACGGACAAAAAACCCCAAAUCCUGUUUAGCAAUAAAGCUCGGCUCCAUUCUCAGGUUUGUAGGUGUAGCAUGAAGUCAGGCCCACUGCUGCUUUCUGCAGCUUUAGGAGAACAAGAAUAGAUUUUAUCAGCAGACUGUGAGAAUAAACAAGUGGAGUUUGUUCCUGAUUGUAGCAGGAACCUCUGCGCAGGUAAAGCUAACACAACCAGCUGGAUCAAAUUAGAAACACAACAGACAGUAGAUGGGGCCAAAGAGUAAAGAUGCUUUUUGUAAAAAUAAUAAUAAAAAUAAAUAAAUAAACGAUACAGCUGAGGCUGAAAGUGUCUGAAAUAGUCUAAUAGUUUAAUU